UUCACCAUUAGCUGCUCUGAAUUUGGGAGGCUUUCUGUAAUCACAGGGCAUCUUACAAUUACUGUCGGCCAGGCAGCUGCCUUUAAGUAUGUCAUCAACUGCGACUGUGCUGAGCAGAGCUAUGAAAUAGGAGCGGGGCAGGUGCACAGCCGUUAUCGCGAGAGUAUUAGCAGGAAACCCGGAAAGCGACCGUUAGAGAUCCCGCUGUGCCAAUGGUCAGCCUAGCAGUGGUGGGACUCGCGGCAGAAAGUGUGGUGAGAGGCAGAUUACAGCCUUCUCCCCGGGGCCCUCCAGGUGCUCUGGCCUCAGGCCAGCAGGUGAACUGGGGGGCCGUGGGGACAGGCCAGGGGCUGUGUCUCUCACACGGCUGCCUGUUGGUCGGGUCCAAGCCUGGAAGUGACCGUGAACCUCUUCCCGCUCCUCGCCUGCGAGACUUGAUGGCGACGUUAGUCGUCUCCACUGGUCUCCGUCCACAGAAGCCCCAGCAGCUGAAGGAUACACACACUGCCAUUCAGAUGCUGUGGUGCACAAACGUUACUCUGGUCCAUGUUCUCUUGCUCACUGCUGCCUCGUUGACAUGAAGAGAUGGUCAGGCGCAUCCUCCUGUGACCUGGAAUAAACUCCAGAAGAGGGCAGGAACUUUGCCAACUUCUGAAUGUAACUUUAUUUGGGUGGCGUCUGUUUUAAGAAUAAUCACCCUUGGAGAAAAAAGUGUUCUGACCACUGUCACAAGGAGAGGGUCGUAAAUUGUCACCAGGCCCCCCUGGCCAGAAGAUGAUGUAAC
Bos taurus (domestic cattle) is the source of this 784-nucleotide long non-coding RNA. Lineage: Eukaryota; Metazoa; Chordata; Mammalia; Artiodactyla; Bovidae. The record is from Ensembl.